GUGCUUACUUCAGCAGCACAUAUACUAAAAUUGGAAGAGAAGAUUAGCAUGGCCCCUCUGCAAGGAUGAUGCACAAAUUCAUGAAAUGUACCAUAUUUUU
This is a small nuclear RNA of Fukomys damarensis (Damara mole-rat), 100 nucleotides long. The record is from Ensembl. NCBI's taxonomy places the organism in Eukaryota, Metazoa, Chordata, Mammalia, Rodentia, Bathyergidae.